Ahaetulla prasina is the source of this 3130-nucleotide long non-coding RNA. RefSeq lists it as uncharacterized. NCBI's taxonomy places the organism in Eukaryota, Metazoa, Chordata, Lepidosauria, Squamata, Colubridae. The transcript is spliced from 3 exons. The record is from RefSeq and is a predicted model, not a curated record.
AAGGUUGAGAGAGAGAGAGAGAAAAAAAAGGAGAAGGAAGGAAAGAACAAAAAGGAAGAAAGGGAAAGGUUACUUACCAUAGGAAAAAAAAAUAUCUAACUCUUACCCAGGAAGGUAAAAUUUCCACCACUGGCACUACUUUGCCCUACAGGUGAGUUUGUGAGUGGCUAAAAUUGAGAGGGUGGUGGUGGAGGGGGCUUUUGCAUAGCCAGACCAGGCCCAGAUUUAAACGGGGCCUUGCUUUUAAUAACUCUCUUCCCUCCCCAAUAUGUCUGUGUUACUCAAAACCAAAGUCAUCCUACAGAAAGCCCCAAGAGUACCUAAAAGUUUCAGCCCAACUGAUAGACUUUAUCAGGGACAAAUCUUAUACCAUCUGGUAUAUUUCAGGGGCUGCUGAGGAAUCCUGGGAGCAGCGAGGGGACGUAAGACUGAGGAAGGCUAGGCCUUACAAAAAAAGAAAAAAACAAAACAGAUGCAGUUCAAAGAAAGCUAGAAUAAUUUUCUUACGAUGAUCAAUACCACAAGUGGGCUGCUGUCAAGGGUUGGAAAAAAACACAACACACAUUGCUGCUGAUAUUUUAAGUACUCUGUUGUUAUCACUGCCUAAUGUAGUUUCUCUUUUCCCUUCCCCCAAGUAAAACAGGUCCCUCGGCUGAAAACCACAAGAUUUUAGCAGUUGCCUAAGUGGUGAACACAAACCGCACAGAGGGCUCACUUCAACAAAAUGACGAUAAACAGCAGUUUUCAAUGCAGGGGGGAAAAAAUUCAAACAAGCACCAGCAGCUUCCCCCCCCCUCCCCUGGGCACCCUCUGCAGCUCUGAGGAAAGACCCAUGCAGGCAAUGAGGAGGGCUUUCUUCCCAUCUACUUGGGAAGGAGGAGGAAUGCACAGGGUCUUUGGCCGAGCCUGGUAAUCUGACAGAGUUGCUCAGCGCACCUUCCAUGACAGUUCAAACCUCAGGCUCAAAGCGGGAGGCACGUGCAGAGUGGCUUUGCGGCAGCUGCCGCAGCAGAGAUUCGUUCAACUUCCCUUUUCUCUUCCAGCGAAGCUGCCUUCGACUGAGUGAGGCCACUGGGUUAGCCUCCACCCAGCGUUUUCUGCUCUGGCUGGCAGUGGCUCUCUAAGGACUCCAGUGUGGCACUGUUCCUAUGGCCUACUUCUUGGGAGGUGAACCUUCUACCCAAGUCCACCCACCGUCUUUCGGCUAUUUUCUCAACUUUUCCAUGUACUUUUGGGAACUUCAAUCAACAUUUGGGUUCACCUGAGAAAGCAUCGAACAGGUUCAGUCUACACAAGGAACAGUGGGAAAACAGUGGUGAACAUCUUCUGCGCAUGGGAAGGAAGGAGGCCUGAAUAAUUCCAGAACCCUUGGCAGCUUCUCUGGCAUCACGUCUCCAUAACAGAGUGAGGCACUUGCAGCCCAAGGAUGCUGAACUAAACCCACCUGGAGAUGAUGGAGAUGAAUUGUACACAUUUUGCUUUUGUGCACAAUGGAAAUUUCCAUCCAGAAGCCUGAACAGCUUCUUCUAAACACCCCGACUGAGCACCUGGCCUGUCACAUCUCUUUGUGGAUUUGCUCAGAAAGGGAAAAGCAGGAGAGUCUGUGGCAGUGUGAAAGUAACUCCUGGAGGAAAUACAUGAAGUCACCUUUCCGCACACUCGUGCCCAGAAAACAUAAUCGGAGAAAAGUUUGGCCAGUUUAAGGGGGAAAAAAAAGUAGAAAUGAACUUGAUUCAUACAGCAACCACCUGGAUGAGGCCUCAUGAAUGUUUUGAAAAAGAAAGGCAGGUUUUCUGCACUAUUAUUGUUCCUUUUGCAGGUUUGAAAGAACACUGUCUCAACAGAAGAAUGUGCUUUCUGAUAUUGCUGGCGAGCACUGCUGCUCAAACCAUGUUAAGAGGAUAUGAGUCUGGGUGGGGCUGAUGCAGCUGGUCUCAGGAUCACAGACCUAAAAGGGCUACACUAAACUGACUUGCAAUCACUGACACCCACACAGACAUUUCCUGUACUUAGAAAAAAAAUCUGUUUCUCUCUUUUGAGGCUCAACAACUUUUACCUAGAAGCUAGAUAGCGGUGAGCACCGAAAGAUCUCUUAUCAGCAGUUGGGUUCCUUUUUUGUUUUUGCACUAAUAAUCUGUUUGAACUCUUAGGAGAGGUCUUAACUGCCGGUUUUUAGCAGAUAUUUAAUGAAGAAAAAAAAGGGGGGGGGAGGGGAGUUUUGAUGCCCAAAUGACUGAAAUGAGCAACUAACCUUUGGUGGGGAAAUGCUUUUGAGAUUCUUCACAUUAGCAUGGUACGGUUACAUGGCUCCUUUCUGAACACUUGAGCAACAUAGCAUAGCACUGUCUGCAAACCUGUGUUAGACCUUUAGCAGCAGGGUGAGAAGAAGUCUGUUGGAGGUCAAUGAACCCUCUCCAGAUUUGGAGAGGUGGGGGAAGAAGCGUAAAUGUUUACCUGUGUCCCAUGCUGGCCAAAUUGGGCCAUCCAGGAUCUCUUUAGCCAAGCCUAAAGCCAAGAAGUACUGAUUGAUACUAUGAACUGUAGGAUAGGCGAAUCUGCCAGCCCAAUAACAUUUCUAAGGGGGAUUUUGAAUUUUGGGUGUGUGCGCCUGCAUGCAUGGAUGUGCAUGUAAAACAAGAUCACCGCAGAGAGAAACAUUUGCAUGUCAUAAAAUUAUUUCGUGACUUUUCCUGUCGGGUGUCAUGCAGGAUGGGAAAAAAGCAAAGCGAGGGACAAAAGAGGCCACCUAGCAACUUCGUACAAUGUUUGGUCUAUUCAAGUCAUGGUGGAAGAAACAAUAACAACAUAACAUUACUUUAUUUGAUUUCUAUUCGCCUAUUUAUUUGGGAACUCGGGAAGUGAAAACUCAAGCCACCCAGCACAGAAACUAAUAAGUAGCUUCCAGAAACCUUGCAAUUAUUCCAAGCAGAGGGACAGAAAGAGCGAAAGGGACAGAAAUGGCGAAAGAGAAUCAAAGCAAACAAGUGAAAGUAUAAGGGCGGGGCGGGGGGGGGGGAGAGAAAAGCUACUCUCUAGAAAAAGUUUGCUUUAGAGGAAACUCGGGGAGUUUCACCACCCCUACCCCUCAAAAAACCAGCCAACCCUUUGCUGUCAUUGGUGAGCAAGCAUC